UUGUCUUCAUUAGAGAAUAUCCUUUAUUUUCAAGCUAGGCUUGGGGUCCUAGCCAAUAUAAUUUUUCUUGUUUUCUGUUUUCAUAAUCCUAGGUCACAGACCUAAGUCCAUGAACCUGAUCUUCUGUCAACUGACUUUUGUUCAUGUAAUGAUGUUCCUUGCUGGAGAGAAUUUUGGCUUGCAGACAUAUUUGAGUCACUGAAUUUUGAAAUUGACUUCAAAUGUAAGGCAACUUUUUACACAAAGAGGGUGAUGAGAGGCCUCUCUAUCUAUAUUACCUACCUCCUGAGUAUGUUCCAAGCUGUUACAAUCAGUCACAGUACCUCUUUGUUGGCAAAAUUUAAACAUAAUUUAAAUAAAUACAUGAUCUAUGCUUUCCUUUAUACUUGGUCUUUCAGUUUAUCUGUCAGUAGUAACCUGAUCUUCGAUGUUGGUGGUUUUACUAAUGUGAGUGUGACCAACCAGAUGAAGGUUUCAAAAUCCUGCUCACUCUUUCCCAUGAACUACAUCAUAAGAGGAUUGAUAUUAACAGUGAUAACCUCCAGUAAUAUAUUUCUUGUAGGAGUCAUGCUGACUACCAGCACAUACAUGGUGAAUAUCUUGUUCAGACAUCAGAGGCAAUGCAAGCAUCUUUAUAGCAUCAGCCAUCUGAGAGCAUCCCUUGAAAAAAGAGCCACCCAGACCACCAUGCUGCUGGUGUUUUUCUUUGUGGUUAUGUAGUGGGUGGACUUUAUUAUCUCAUUCACCUCAGCCCUGUUAUGGAUGUAUGACCCAGUCAUCCUGACUGUUCAGAAGUUUGUGGUGAAUACCUAUCCCACAAUUACUCCUUUGGUAUAAAUCAGUUCUGAUAAGAGAAUAAUCAAGGUGCUGAAAAACUUGCAGUCUUAGU
Molecule: long non-coding RNA, 889 nt
Filed under: Mus musculus (house mouse)
Lineage: Eukaryota; Metazoa; Chordata; Mammalia; Rodentia; Muridae
Description: long non-coding RNA chr6:57312938-57313827
Source: RNAcentral